CACUUGUCUUGUAAUUGCUAUUAACUUCUAAUGUUGAAGCUGCUUUGGAGGAUUAAGAGGAUCAAAACUCUCAUACAAUCAUUGUCAAACACUGUUAUUAUGACAAUAUCAAUGAACAGAAAGGCAUGAUGGCUCUGCCUCUCCACAGAUCAAACAGUUUUGUCAGGGCAUAUCCAGGAAAUCUGGGUAAGCUUCCCAAAUGUGUAAAAAUGCUGUAUCAGAUACAUUCAAUAGCAGCCUAUUGUUAAAGUAGCAAUGCUGGAAGAGAAGGACAGAUUGGAAUACGGUGCAGUAAAGUGAACACAAAUCAUCUCCACAUGUACCUGAAUCGAGGGGGAAGGCUGAAGGGACUUUUAUAUGUUUCAGCCGACCCCCCCUUCAACGCAUACCCCGCUGUCAUUGGUGCUGCAAUCGGUGGCAUGAUAGCGGCCACCCUGGGCACCAUGCUGCUCUUCAUAUACAUCGUGAGGAACCGUAACACGAACCCACGGCUUCAUGACAUGUUGUUUGGAAUGCAGCACAGUCAGUCGAGAGAGAACAUCAACUCUCCCGAGGAUGAGGUUGUCAGCAGGUCUCAAAGCGAGGGGGAACUCGAGGACCCAACCAUCUCUCCAGGAGCCGGGCCAGCUGUGGUGUCGGGGAGUUCCAUGUCUGCGGAGCCACCUGCUGCCGAAGGAGAUGACAACGAGCCGGUCAACGUGACCAUAACUGUCACAGCCACAACCUGAGUGCUCAGACAUGGCUGUACACACACACUUCGCUAACUGACGUAACACACAGGCAGAUCAAAAGAAAGAACAGCAUUCAUCUGCUUUUCCUAUUUUGUAUACUUUGUGAAGUGCUGUCACCUUGGACUCCUGAUUCUCUGUUGUAAAGAGGUCCUACAUUGGGUGGGGUCUUUAAAAAUUUUAACCUUCGUAGUCUUUGAAACAUUAAACACCAUGCCAUUAGAAAUUGCCAUUUCAUUCAGCUGUGCAAGUAUUUUGUU
RNAcentral lists this long non-coding RNA (988 nucleotides) under Scleropages formosus (Asian bonytongue). Its description in RNAcentral is "lncRNA (ENSSFOG00015030735.1)". The record is from RNAcentral. Lineage: Eukaryota; Metazoa; Chordata; Actinopteri; Osteoglossiformes; Osteoglossidae.